This 492-nucleotide ribosomal RNA is filed under the name Triticum aestivum (bread wheat). RNAcentral's name for it is "partial small subunit ribosomal RNA". The record is from RNAcentral. Lineage: Eukaryota; Viridiplantae; Streptophyta; Magnoliopsida; Poales; Poaceae.
UUAGGGGAUUUUAAUGAAAUUUUACUCUCGUGAGAAAAAGAGGGCGAAAAUGCAAGACCAAAUGCUAUAAUGAGAGACUUUCGUAAUUGUUUAGGAGACUGUGUCCUCGAGGAUAUGCGUUGUAUUGGUGACCCUUUCACUUGGAGGAGAGGUGAUACUAGAGAGAGACUUGACCGUGCGGUGUGCAAUGUGGAAUGGGCGAACAAAUUCCCUCGAGCCGCGAUUAUCAGUGAGGAACACGUUCAUUCUGAUCACCGUCCACUCGUACUGGAUACAGAAUAUUUUGACAGAAAUGUUUUUAAUGCCCCAUGGGGACGAGUAAAACAGUUUGAAGCUCGAUGGCUCAAGGAGGAGACGGUCGGUGAAAUUGUUCGUACAACAUGGGAAAAUGCAAAGAUGAUGGGGAUUGGACCAAAGCUCGCUGAUCGUACUCGUGCAAUUCAGUCAGAUUUGUGUAUUUGGGAUCGUGGGGUUUUGAGAGGCCCAAAAUAG